UACGGAGGAUCCGAGCGUUAUCCGGAUUUACUGGGUUUAAAGGGUGCGUAGGCGGGCGCCUAAGUCAGCGGUGAAAGGCAGCGGCUCAACCGUUGAACUGCCGUUGAAACUGGGCGCCUUGGAUUCGGUCGGGGCCGGCGGAAUGCGUGGUGUAGCGGUGAAAUGCUUAGAUAUCACGCGGAACGCCGAUCGCGAAGGCAGCUGGCCAGGCCGAGAUCGACGCUGAGGCACGAAAGCGUGGGGAUCAAAC
Molecule: ribosomal RNA, 250 nt
Filed under: uncultured bacterium
Lineage: Bacteria
Also listed under: 1 other name
Description: partial 16S ribosomal RNA
Rfam family: Bacterial small subunit ribosomal RNA
Source: RNAcentral